RNAcentral lists this ribosomal RNA (118 nucleotides) under Pteropus alecto (black flying fox). The record is from RNAcentral. Lineage: Eukaryota; Metazoa; Chordata; Mammalia; Chiroptera; Pteropodidae.
GUCUAUGGCCAUGCUACCUCGAACAAGCUAAUCCCAUCUGAUCUUGGAAACUAAGCCACGUUGGGCCUGGUUAGUACUUGGAUGGGAGACCACCUAUGAAGGCUAGGUGCUGUAGGUA